This 168-nucleotide ribosomal RNA is filed under the name uncultured rumen bacterium. RNAcentral's name for it is "partial 16S ribosomal RNA". It matches the Rfam family "Bacterial small subunit ribosomal RNA", at positions 340 to 524 of the family's 1533-position model. The record is from RNAcentral.
UACGGGAGGCAGCAGUGGGGAAUAUUGGACAAUGGGCGCAAGCCUGAUCCAGCCAUGCCGCGUGAGUGAUGAAGGCCUUAGGGUUGUAAAGCUCUUUCAGUGGGGAAGAUAAUGACGGUACCCGACAGAAGAAGCCCCGGCUAACUUCGUGCCAGCAGCCGCGGUAAU